AGCCACCAGGCUCACUCAGUAAAGCAUGAGGCUCUUAAUCUCAGGGUUGUGGGUUCAAGCCCCAUGAUGGGUG
RNAcentral lists this transfer RNA (73 nucleotides) under Ovis aries (sheep). It matches the Rfam family "tRNA". Rfam says of the family: Transfer RNA (tRNA) molecules are approximately 80 nucleotides in length. Their secondary structure includes four short double-helical elements and three loops (D, anti-codon, and T loops). The record is from Rfam by way of RNAcentral. Lineage: Eukaryota; Metazoa; Chordata; Mammalia; Artiodactyla; Bovidae.